RNAcentral lists this non-coding RNA (133 nucleotides) under unclassified sequences. RNAcentral's name for it is "RT-5 RNA". It matches the Rfam family "RT-5 RNA". From Rfam's summary of the family: Clostridium (Firmicutes). Environment (Cow rumen (57)) The record is from Rfam by way of RNAcentral.
UUGCGCCUGCGGCGGACCCGGCACGGCCAGCAACAAGGCGGCCCCGAUGCAUAACGCCGCCUUUUGACUUCGCAGGCAGUCGGCACGUGUACGGCCCGGUACAUCCAUGAAUUUCAUGGAUUUAAUUUCUUCU